This 491-nucleotide ribosomal RNA is filed under the name uncultured Rhodobacter sp. RNAcentral's name for it is "partial 16S ribosomal RNA". Lineage: Bacteria; Pseudomonadati; Pseudomonadota; Alphaproteobacteria; Rhodobacterales. The record is from RNAcentral.
UACGGCNUGGCACUACCAGGGUAUNUAAUCCUGUUUGCUCCCCACGCUUUCGCACCUCAGCGUCAGUAUCGAGCCAGUGAGCCGCCUUCGCCACUGGUGUUCCUCCGAAUAUCUACGAAUUUCACCUCUACACUCGGAAUUCCACUCACCUCUCUCGACCUCAAGACUGGGAGUUUUGGAGGCAGUUCCGAGGUUGAGCCCCGGGAUUUCACCCCCAACUUUCCAAUCCGCCUACGUGCGCUUUACGCCCAGUAAUUCCGAACAACGCUAGCCCCCUCCGUAUUACCGCGGCUGCUGGCACGGAGUUAGCCGGGGCUUCUUCUCCGGGUACCGUCAUUAUCUUCCCCGGUGAAAGAGCUUUACAACCCUAAGGCCUUCAUCGCUCACGCGGCAUGGCUAGAUCAGGGUUUCCCCCAUUGUCUAAGAUUCCCCACUGCUGCCUCCCNUANGGGGCGGGGGCGGCGGGACNGGCNCGGGGCGCGGCGGNCGNC